GAUGAAGAACGCAGCGAAAUGCGAUAAGUAAUGUGAAUUGCAGAAUUCAGUGAAUCAUCGAAUCUUUGAACGCACAUUGCGCCCGCCAGUAUUCUGGCGGGCAUGCCUGUCCGAGCGUCAUUUCAACCAUCAAGCCCCGGGCUUGUGUUGGGGACCCGCGUCCGACGCAGGCCCUGAAAACCAGUGGCGGGCUCGCUGUCCACACCGAGCGUAGUAACUAACCUCGCUAUGGAGUGGCGCGGGCGCCUGCCGUAAAACCCCCAAUUUUUACAAGGUUGACCUCGGAUCAGGUAGGAAUACCCGCUGAACUUAAGCAUAUCAAUAAGCGGAGGA
Molecule: unclassified non-coding RNA, 333 nt
Filed under: soil metagenome
Description: partial contains 5.8S ribosomal RNA, internal transcribed spacer 2, and large subunit ribosomal RNA
Rfam family: 5.8S ribosomal RNA (bases 1-120)
Source: RNAcentral